This is a small nuclear RNA of Ochotona princeps (American pika), 106 nucleotides long. The record is from Ensembl. Lineage: Eukaryota; Metazoa; Chordata; Mammalia; Lagomorpha; Ochotonidae.
GUGCUCGCUUCGGCAGCACUUAUACUAAAAUUGGAACAAUACAGAGAAGAUUAGCAUGUCCCUGCACAAGGAUGACAUGCAAAUUACUGAAGAUUAUUCAAAAAAA